RNAcentral lists this long non-coding RNA (702 nucleotides) under Olea europaea subsp. europaea. The record is from RNAcentral. Lineage: Eukaryota; Viridiplantae; Streptophyta; Magnoliopsida; Lamiales; Oleaceae.
AGAAUCUAGUAUCUAUGGAGUGAUUAUUGGGUCUCAUGUAUAGUGAAAGUGGAGAGUAAAACCUAUUGGGCCUGUCAACCGUGCAAACAAACCGAGCAGCACGGAGGCGAGAACAGUGCAAACAAACCGAGCAGCGUCCUGGUCUCCGCGCUGUGCGGAGUGUUCUCAACUGGUUCCAGAACUGGUUCUUCUACAGUUCAAUUUUGGAUUUCAAGGGCCAAGUGAAAACACGCUUCUCUCUCUCUCGACCACCAAACGAAAUCCUCAGUCACUUAUAAAAAACAGAAGCUCCGUAGAUUUGAAAAUCGAAGGAAUUGAACGAUAAUCCCAAAAAUGAAAUCAUUGUUGUGACUUCUUGAUCUUCUUCCUUUAGAUGUGCACAAUAGCCAAAGUAAUGGUGAUUUGGACUUCGAGAUUGGACCUGUGAGUGGUUGACUACUUCGACCUUCGAGUGGCAGAGGUUGAUUGGGAAGGGAUUCUGUAUGGAAGGCUAGUUGGAGAAUCGACUUUAGUAGCGGUGCGAUUGUUGUCCAGUAAGGUUUUUCGAAAUAAAUUAGUUCUUCCAGUUGAUAGUUGAUUCUUGAUGCAUUUGUUUAAAAAUUUUCCAUCUCUUCAUUGAAUCUUCUAUUUCUUGUUUAAAUUUAUUUUGCCUGAAGUAUUUAGCUAAACAAAACCCUCAAGCCUUCUUUUUCUCGAGGUCAG